AACCGGGUCCGGGCCCCUCUGAUAGUCUCUGACGAGACUAUGAUGUCGGACUCUUCCA
This is a regulatory RNA element of 58 nucleotides. It matches the Rfam family "terC RNA". The record is from Rfam.